This 588-nucleotide ribosomal RNA is filed under the name uncultured delta proteobacterium. RNAcentral describes it as "bacterial SSU rRNA". It matches the Rfam family "Bacterial small subunit ribosomal RNA", at positions 338 to 916 of the family's 1533-position model. Lineage: Bacteria; Deltaproteobacteria. The record is from RNAcentral.
CCUACGGGAGGCAGCAGUGAGGAAUUUUGCGCAAUGGGGGAAACCCUGACGCAGCGACGCCGCGUGAGUGAGGAAGGUUUUCGGAUCGUAAAGCUCUGUCAGAAGGGAAGAAGUGUUAUAUGGUUAACACCCAUAUAAUUUGACGGUACCUUCAGAGGAAGCACCGGCUAACUCCGUGCCAGCAGCCGCGGUAAUACGGAGGGUGCAAGCGUUGUUCGGAAUUACUGGGCGUAAAGGGCGCGUAGGCGGCUGGAUAAGUCAGAUGUGAAAGUCCAUGGCUCAACUGUGGAAGUGCAUUUGAAACUGUCCGGCUUGAGUAUCGGAGGGGAGUGUGGAAUUCCCGGUGUAGAGGUGAAAUUCGUAGAUAUCGGGAGGAAUACCAGUGGCGAAGGCGCCCCUCUGGACCGAUACUGACGCUGAGACGCGAAAGCGUGGGGAGCAAACAGGAUUAGAUACCCUGGUAGUCCACGCCGUAAACGAUGAGCACUAGGUGUAGCGGGUAUUGACCCCUGCUGUGCCGUAGCUAACGCAUUAAGUGCUCCGCCUGGGGACUACGGUCGCAAGACUAAAACUCAAAGGAAUUGACGG